CUAGGAACAAAAUAAAAGCAUGAUAACAGCAAAUAAAACAACUUGAUGAAAACCAGAGCGUAUUUUCUUUUAAACAUAAUAGGCCCCUCAAAGAUCAUUUGGGCUCUGAUACCAUGAUGAAAUUUGGAAUGGAAAUUCAUUUAGUCUUUCACAAAACAUAAACAGAAAUUUGAAAUAUUAACUUAACAAAACACAAGUUGGAGAAGAGAGGAAAUAACAUGAAUCUAUUACUGCAAAUUCAUGAACUGCAGAUUUACAAACUCAAAACAUGAAACAAAGACAACAACUUUUUUUUUUCUUUUUCUUAGCCAUUUCCAUCACUCUAUUUUUCUUCUCACUUUUUCUUUGUUGCAGCAUGCCUCUUUUUAUAGGAAGAGAAAGUUUCCUACUCCACAACUACACUUACCUGCUCUUCUCCUUAAAAGAAGGAUGUCCAUUCCUUUUUAACUAAAAUAGAUUUUGACAAUGAAAUGUCUCUAUCUCAUAUUUCCAACACAAACUCCAGUCCAGUUGUAAGAACACUAGUUGUAACAGCUAUUACCAAGUAUUAAAUCCUGCUGUUUAUGGCUGCCAACCUUGCUUUAUCUCCCUGCUUUUGGAACCACUAAUUCUUCCCCCUUUCUUUUGCCCUACUUCAAUUCAUAUCACUCAGAACUUCAACUACCUGACAUUUUUACUUUAACACUUUAAGACCCUCCUAGAUAUUCAUUCUGGUGGCGAUAAGCCUACAUUUGUAAUCUUCUUUUGGUUUCACUAGUCACUGAAUGUCUAUUCCAUUAACGUAUAUCGCAUUUUUUUUUUUUACCAAAGAAAAGAUCUAAUAAAAUAUUUAUAUAGUACCCAGCUACGACCUUUUUGUUAGGCCUGCAAUAAAAGCUUUUCUUUACUUGCAACUGCAACUAUUUUUAGUGGUCCAGCUUGCUGCAUGCUGACAUGUUUAAUGUGACACUUACAGAAUCAAAUCUAAAUUCAGUAAAAUUAAAGAAUGUCUUUUGUUUAACUCCAUUCAUCUAGAUAAACCAUAGCUUUGUUUUCAGUGGCAUUUUACUAUUUGCAAAUGCAAAUUCUUCACACUGAGCCAUCAAUGCACAUCAAAUAAUCUGAAAUGAUGUGUUUCUUUGCCUUAUUGGCUGAGCCACGGUACACAUCACAUAAUUUGAAAUAAUUUGUCUUAAGUGCCUUCAAGGCUUUGCGACAUGUCUUCAUCUUACUUUUGGCAGAUAUAUAAAAGAAUUGAUAUUGCAGAAAAAUACAGUUUGUUAAUUUUGUUUGCUGGACCCAAUUUGCCAGUUAACUUUUUCUAAUUUCUUUGUUCAUUAUAAAGGAAAGUCAAUCUGUU
This 1339-nucleotide long non-coding RNA is filed under the name Ricinus communis (castor bean). RNAcentral's name for it is "long non-coding RNA (RCOM_LNC003528)". Lineage: Eukaryota; Viridiplantae; Streptophyta; Magnoliopsida; Malpighiales; Euphorbiaceae. The record is from RNAcentral.